Molecule: non-coding RNA, 75 nt
Organism: Rhamnusium bicolor
Lineage: Eukaryota; Metazoa; Arthropoda; Insecta; Coleoptera; Cerambycidae
Source: the annotation of a GenBank genome assembly
GCAUAGUAGCCGAGUGGGUAAAGCGCUUUAUAUACUCGGUACCGGAGGUCGAUGGUUCGAAUCCAUCCUGGAGCA